RNAcentral lists this ribosomal RNA (1144 nucleotides) under uncultured bacterium. Its description in RNAcentral is "bacterial SSU rRNA". It matches the Rfam family "Bacterial small subunit ribosomal RNA", at positions 225 to 1387 of the family's 1533-position model. The record is from RNAcentral.
AUGGACUCGCGUCCGAUUUAGUUAGUUGGUGAGGUAACGGCUCACCAAGACCGCGAUCGGUAGCCGGACUGAGAGGUUGAACGGCCACAUUGGGACUGAGACACGGCCCAGACUCUUACGGGAGGCAGCAGUGGGGGAUAUUGCGCAAUGGGGGAAACCCUGACGCAGCAACGCCGCGUGAAGGAUGAAGGUCUUCGGAUUGUAAACUUCUUUUAUUAGGGACGAAGAAAGUGACGGUACUUAAUGAAUAAGCUCCGGCUAACUACGUGCCAGCAGCCGCGGUAAUACGUAGGGAGCAAGCGUUGUCCGGAUUUACUGGGUGUAAAGGGUGCGUAGGCGGCUUUGCAAGUCAGAUGUGAAAUCUAUGGGCUCAACCCAUAGCCUGCAUUUGAAACUGCAGAGCUUGAGUGAAGUAGAGGCAGGCGGAAUUCCCCGUGUAGCGGUGAAAUGCGUAGAGAUGGGGAGGAACACCAGUGGCGAAGGCGGCCUGCUGGGCUUUAACUGACGCUGAGGCACGAAAGCGUGGGUAGCAAACAGGAUUAGAUACCCUGGUAGUCCACGCUGUAAACGAUGAUUACUAGGUGGGGGGGUGUGACCCCUUCCGUGCCGGAGUUAACACAAUAAGUAAUCCACCUGGGGAGUGCGGCCGCAAGGUUGAAACUCAAAGGAAUUGACGGGGGCCCGCACAAGCAGUGGAGUAUGUGGUUUAAUUCGAAGCAACGCGAAGAACCUUACCAGGUCUUGACAUCUUACUAACGAGAUAGAGAUAUGUUAGGUGCCCUUCGGGGAAAGUAGAGACAGGUGGUGCAUGGUUGUCGUCAGCUCGUGUCGUGAGAUGUUGGGUUAAGUCCCGCAACGAGCGCAACCCUUGCUAUUAGUUGUUACGCAAGAGCACUCUAAUAGGACUGCCGUUGACAAAACGGAGGAAGGUGGGGAGGACGUCAAAUCAUCAUGCCCCUUAUGACCUGGGGUACACACGUACUACAAUGGACAUUAACAGAGGGAAGCAAUACAGUGAUGUGGAGCAAACCCCUAAAAAUGUUCUCAGUUCAGAUUGCAGGCUGCAACCCGCCUGUAUGAAGAUGGAAUUGCUAGUAAUCGCAGAUCAGCAUGCUGCGGUGAAUACGUUCCCGGGCCUUGCACU